GGUCACGCCUAUUUCCCCCCGGCAGCCGGGGGGCGCUAACGUCAAAUUUGUCUAUUUCCCCCCGGCAGCCGGGGGGCGCUAACAUCAAAAUAUGCUAUUGACCACCGGCCGGCUAAUAUGGCAAAUCAUGCACUCAGAAAUGCACCGAUGAAUACAAAUUACAAAAAAAACGUGCAUAAUUUUAGGCUCGCUGAAUUGAGAAGCGGCUUCCGUUUGAGAAUACCUGGUAGAAUAAAAAUAGAUAUAAAUUAGGUACCAUCAUCAUCCUGUGUUCCACAAACCUUAGGAUUGUUCCUAGGAUGCCACUCGUUUUACUUAUUUACUGGCAUUGGCAGAUCACACGGAAUAGGUCCACUACUACGAAAUCAUUUGCUUUCCGACAAUUGGGUGCUUGCAAACGACUACGGUAUCCAUCAACGGAAGGCGGAUUUCUAGGUAGGGGGAAUCGCCGGUGCUGCUUGUUUGUAGUAACCCCACAUCCCUCAGGAGAAUUACGGGAAGGAUUCAUGAUUCAUCGGUAGGGCAGAGGAAGAUGUAACAAAUGACCUUCGUGCACCCAAAAUGAUUAUUUUUAAGUAAACACUUGAUGCUUGUUGAAAAAGCUAAAACAAUCGAUAAAGAUUUCUUUUGUUGGGUUUCUAUUUUUCAGGUUUACUCAGCAUGUGAUAAAAGAAACAAACGCUUGUCACGUAUCAAUGGGUGGAACCACGCACUUGCCGGGAUGAUUUGCCUUCGUUUGCCAAAUUGCCAUCGGGUGCAGAACACAGAAAAUGUCCGCCAUGCAAUCCAGGGAUGCAGAUGUAUUAUACAACUGGUACCUGCCCUUUCUGUCCCUCCGGAAGCAUUUCGGACGGAGUACGGCCCUGUCGAUCAUGUCCACCAUAUACAGCACCCAAUACAGGAUUCCAAUUUAUCUGGUGGAGUGCUCUUCCUGGAGUUAUGUCUUCACGCUGCAUGAGUCUAGAAGGUUAAUUCUUUUUUUUUCGGAUUCGCAACAAGGAUUUUUCUGUAUUGCUUUCUUUACCUACGUUGCCUUUUGUUUCCAAAUCCCUUAAGCAGUUCAUUUCUAAAAAAUGUAAUAAAAUAUAUGAAACUGAA
This is a long non-coding RNA of Daphnia magna, 1098 nucleotides long. RefSeq lists it as uncharacterized. Lineage: Eukaryota; Metazoa; Arthropoda; Branchiopoda; Diplostraca; Daphniidae. The record is from RefSeq and is a predicted model, not a curated record. The transcript has 2 exons.